Molecule: ribosomal RNA, 235 nt
Filed under: uncultured bacterium
Lineage: Bacteria
Description: partial 16S ribosomal RNA
Rfam family: Bacterial small subunit ribosomal RNA
Source: RNAcentral
UACAGAGGGUGCGAGCGUUAAUCGGAAUUACUGGGCGUAAAGCGCGCGUAGGCGGCUUUGCAAGUCGGGUGUGAAAUCCCCAGGCUUAACCUGGGAACUGCAUUCGAGACUGCAUUGCUAGAGUAUGGGAGAGGGAAGUGGAAUUUCCGGUGUAGCGGUGAAAUGCGUAGAUAUCGGAAGGAACAUCAGUGGCGAAAGCGACUUCCUGGACCAAUACUGACGCUCAUGUGCGAAA